RNAcentral lists this transfer RNA (89 nucleotides) under Eubacteriales bacterium OttesenSCG-928-G02. RNAcentral describes it as "tRNA-Leu". It matches the Rfam family "tRNA". Rfam says of the family: Transfer RNA (tRNA) molecules are approximately 80 nucleotides in length. Their secondary structure includes four short double-helical elements and three loops (D, anti-codon, and T loops). Lineage: Bacteria; Bacillati; Bacillota; Clostridia; Eubacteriales. The record is from RNAcentral.
GCCGGAGUGGCGGAAUAGGUAGACGCCCGGGACUUAAAAUCCCGUGAGACUUAACUCUCGUAUCGGUUCGAGCCCGAUUUCCGGUACCA